Humulus lupulus (European hop) is the source of this 2458-nucleotide long non-coding RNA. RefSeq lists it as uncharacterized. Lineage: Eukaryota; Viridiplantae; Streptophyta; Magnoliopsida; Rosales; Cannabaceae. The record is from RefSeq and is a predicted model, not a curated record. The transcript has 6 exons.
UCUUGCACUUAGAAGCUCGACGUCAUGAGAGGAGAAGAGUUAACCUGCUGCUCGUCAUCGACGUCACUGCGAUAACGUGGCUCUACCAAGAAGCUUCUGCCACUAUUGCUUCCUUCUUGCAACAUUUAUUGGGGCCAUAGGUUCAAGCUACUCAAAGGUUCCGUAACCUCUGGGUCACUUUGUUGCUCCAUUCUCAUUAGCAGUUGACAUUCACCGUGGGUACUUGGGUUUGCUUGGUCCUCGAGGAGUUUGGUUUCUUUUACAAUCUGGUUAGGCCUCGUUCUUCGAAGUGUAUAGGGAUCUGUCCAGCCCCAUUUGCUUCUGAUCUAGGACCAAAUUCAUGCCUCCCAAGAAAUCAAGAGCGUUAAGGAAGAGGAAAAAGGCUGACUAUACCGAAAGAGAGCUUGGAGAAAUCUUUAGCUCGGAUGGUUUUGUAACAUUGAGAUCCAUCUUUUCUAUGAGUGACUUGUCCAAUUUAAUAGAUAAGUAUGGACUUGUUGGUGAACUCAGGCGUAAAGUCCCUAUUAAUGAUGAGCAAGCAAACUCCCCACCAGAUUGGUAUAUUUCUUGGAGACCCAUGCAUUGCCAAGCAGGGGCCUUCCUUCCACUUCAUCCAUACUUUGUGGAAAUAUGUGACUAUUUUGGAAUAGCCCCAUUCCAACUGACGCCGUACAACUAUAGACUAUUUGUACUGCUACGUAUUCUGUAUAGAGUGUUAGAUUGGCCUCCCCCUGAUGCUUUGGAGGUUCACUACUUGUUCAAUAUCAAGUCCAACUGUGUAUUGGGUUAUGAAGGAUUCUACCACUUGUGUAGCUAUUCUAGUGGGGAAGUCCUUAGAAGUGGUGUUUCCAACCUUGGUUGCUACUUUAGUCAAUACUUUUUUAUCAAUGCCCUCCAGUCCGAGCACAGGUCAUUCUGUGAUAUUGGUCGUUAUAGGCAACCGACUCCAACCUCUGAGAUGCGAGAGCAUAUUUCUCAGUUACGUCGAUUGGAUGGAAAGUAUAGGAAUGCGUCUUUCCUUAUCAAUGAUGAAAAUUUACGAUUGGUUGGUCUACUCGAGCCACACCAGUCAUUGGAUCAUCUAUCUCCACCUCUGGAGUUUGACUACAUUCCCUUUUCUGAAGUUUGAGUCUAUACAUGAGAGGAGACCAGAAGAGGUUUUUGUUGUUCGUGACUAGUAUAAGUUAGUUCACUUUGAGGUUUCAUCUUCUUGAUCUUCCCCAAGCAGUCUUUGUUCUAGGUUGCUCAACUGUUCUAAGUUUGACUUAUCGCAAUUGCCUCUCCCUUCUGAAACUUUUAGUGACGUGGGAGGUCUUGGUAUAUCCCUUAGAAAUGAAGAACUAUCCCUCCCUCAUUGGUUAAAUGAAUACUUUCCAGAGGAAACUUUUACUGAUACUCCUUCUGGAGACGUGAAUGCUCGAGCUUUGUUCGGUGGCCCUAAGGUUGUAGGUGCAAGGGCUAACAAGAGGAGGAAACAAUUAGCGAACAAGAAUAAGGGGACCCUUGCAGAGUCUUCUUCUAUUCGUUCAGGCCAAAGUUGACCUCUAGCUGGGGUGACACCGCCAGCCCCUGCAGCGACUGCUAGUGUGGUUCCCACGACCCGAUCCUUAUCUCGUAUAUUACCUUCUCAUGCUCAAAUGGUGGUACCUAGAUUUGAAGAGGUCAUCUAUAGUGACCAGAUACGGGCAGAAUGGUCUUUCUCCAGAGUUUGCAUCCCCAGCGAGAUCGUUCGCCAUUCUAUCUCCAACACUGUUUAGACAAUGAUCACCUUAACCCAACUAACAAAAUCUAUCGAGCAGUUGAAGAAGGAUAAGGAAGCUACAUGCCUUGCCCUCAUGUUUGAGAUAGACAUUGUUCGUGGUGAGAGGAACAAUUGUAAGACUGAGCUUGAGCGACUCAAAAGUUCUUCUUGUUCCGAGAUCAAUCAACUAAAGGCUGAGAUUUCUUUAGAAGUCUCAUGUUGUUGAGGUUGAGCAACUUAAAGCUGUUGCGGAAGCUGAUCACCUUCAAACCCUUGAAGAAGAAGGAGACAUCUUAAAUAACAUGUUUUUUCAGGUUUGGAAACACAACCGCAGUAUUGAUUGAAACAUUUCUGAGUGGCGGAGAUAAGUCCCUACUAGAGGCUUGCGAAUAGACACUUUCCGACAAAGAAAAAUCUUUUGUUCGUACCUCCUUAGCACAGCUGGGGAAUGGUCAUGUUUCAAGGCCUGAAGAUCUCGCUACCAGCACUUCUACUGACCCUUUAGCUGCCUCGGGAGACCAGACCCUUGAGCAAGAGUCCUGAUAGCUUAGUCUCUAGCACGCCUUAUGUUGGAGUAUUUUAUACUUGUAUACUCUUGACUCUUUGUUUUCUUUUGUAGUCUAUACUUGCAUGCCAACGAACAAACCAUUUUUCCUUUUGUUCUUAGUGCGAACAGACUAGUUGCAUAUAGUGCAUGAUAUAAACAGACUAGUUUUC